RNAcentral lists this ribosomal RNA (440 nucleotides) under uncultured bacterium. RNAcentral's name for it is "partial 16S ribosomal RNA". It matches the Rfam family "Bacterial small subunit ribosomal RNA", at positions 338 to 795 of the family's 1533-position model. The record is from RNAcentral.
CCUACGGGAGGCAGCAGUGGGGAAUAUUGCACAAUGGGGGGAACCCUGAUGCAGCGACGCCGCGUGAGUGAAGAAGUAUUUCGGUAUGUAAAGCUCUAUCAGCAGGGAAGAAAAUGACGGUACCUGAGUAAGAAGCCCCGGCUAACUACGUGCCAGCAGCCGCGGUAAUACGUAGGGGGCAAGCGUUAUCCGGAUUUACUGGGUGUAAAGGGAGCGUAGACGGCAGUGCAAGUCUGGAGUGAAAGGCCGCGGCUCAACUCCGGGACUGCUUUGGAAACUGUCCGGCUAGAGUGCAGGAGAGGUAAGCGGAAUGUCUAGUGUAGCGGUGAAAUGCGUAGAUAUCAGGCGGAACACCAGUGGCGAAGGCGGCUUACUGGACUGUAACUGACGUUGAGGCUCGAAAGCGUGGGGAGCAAACAGGAUUAGAUACCCCGGUAGUC